Molecule: unclassified non-coding RNA, 363 nt
Filed under: uncultured bacterium
Lineage: Bacteria
Description: contains 16S-23S intergenic spacer region
Source: RNAcentral
UCCCUGUUACCAGGGCAGUCUAGCUAGAGAAAUUCAACUAACUAUAAGGGUUGCGCUCGUUGAUGGACUUAACCAAACAUCUCACGACACGAGCUGACGGCGGCCAUGCAGCACCUGUCACUUGGUUCAAUAAAGCACUCUCUCCUUUCGGAGAAAUUCCAAGGAUGUCAAACCUGGGUAAGGUUCUUCGCUUACCAUCGAAUUAAACAACACGCUCCACCGCUUGUGCGGGUCCCCGUCAAUUCCUUUGAGUUUUAGCCUUGCGGCCGUACUCCCCAGGCGGGGUGCUUAAUGCGUUAGCUUCGGCACGGAGGGAGUUGACACCCCCCACACCUAGCACCCAUCGUUUACGGCGUGGACUAC